Non-coding RNA from Caenorhabditis elegans, 174 nucleotides. The record is from Ensembl. NCBI's taxonomy places the organism in Eukaryota, Metazoa, Nematoda, Chromadorea, Rhabditida, Rhabditidae.
CACCCAUUUCGUCGACCUCUAGCCAAUUUUCGGAGCAGUAGGAGUAAGCAGCAAAGAAGGAAUCCAAAUCCGGGCGGCGCCGGAAGGACCUGCCUUCAUCUGCUCCUCUCCUCAAACGCUACAUCAGAAGCCGGUCGCACGCGACAAAAAUUUCCAUAAUUCUCAAUAAGGGCG